Molecule: unclassified non-coding RNA, 349 nt
Filed under: soil metagenome
Description: partial contains 5.8S ribosomal RNA, internal transcribed spacer 2, and large subunit ribosomal RNA
Rfam family: 5.8S ribosomal RNA (bases 1-120)
Source: RNAcentral
GAUGAAGAACGUAGCGAAAUGCGAUAAGUAGUGUGAAUUGCAGAAUUCAGUGAAUCAUCGAGUCUUUGAACGCACAUUGCGCCCCCUGGUAUUCCGGGGGGCAUGCCUGUCCGAGCGUCAUUGCUGCCCUCAAGCACGGCUUGUGUGUUGGGCCUCCGCCCCCCGGCUCCCGGGGGGCGGGCCCGAAAGGCAGCGGCGGCACCGCGUCCGGUCCUCGAGCGUAUGGGGCUUCGUCACCCGCUCCGUAGGCCCGGCCGGCGCCCGCCGGCGACCCCCCUCAAUCUUUCCAGGUUGACCUCGGAUCAGGUAGGGAUACCCGCUGAACUUAAGCAUAUCAAUAAGCGGAGGA